Molecule: long non-coding RNA, 2415 nt
Organism: Brassica rapa (field mustard)
Lineage: Eukaryota; Viridiplantae; Streptophyta; Magnoliopsida; Brassicales; Brassicaceae
Source: RefSeq, a predicted model, not a curated record
AUUUUAAGAUGUUAUAUCAUCAUAUUAUAUUUUAAAUAAAUAAUUUAUAUUUAUGAAAAUAAAUUUUAUAAAUUGAUCAAUUGAAUAUAAUUUUAUCAUAUUUAUUUUAGUAUAAUAAUCAUAUUUUAACAUGAUCAUGACUAUAAAGUAGAUAAAAUAGGAUAUAAUUUAUUUAUUUUCGUUUUUAAACGAUAACUUAAAAUACAUUAAGGUCUUCUGAAUUCGAAGAAUAGUUUAUUUCUUCUCGCCUUUUCUUCCAGAGUUGUUGUUUCCUCGAAUAUUUUGUGGAUUAUUGAAUACUGUUGUUUUGUAGGUGCAGAUUUUGGAUUUCAGGAGCCAGAUUUGGAUGAUCCUACAGAAGAUGCGCCAGAUUUGAUGACCAUGAAGACGAUCAAGAAGAUGAUGGUAGAAACGCUGACACCGAAGAAGUUACUUAUUUAGAUGAUGAAGCCUAUGCUAGAGCUCUUCAGGGAGCUUAAGAAAGGGAAACGACAGAUAGAUUGUCUAUCUUAUCUGGGUUAGCAGAUUGUGUUAAAGAUCCAGAGGAUGAGGAUCAUACUUCUCAGAACUAUCAGGAUUCAUAUUCAACUUACAACGGUCGAGAAAGCAAGUGGUGGUGGUGGUUGUGCAGAGAAUAAAAUCAAAAACAUUUGCUUCAAGAUGUUUAAAUAAGGGCAAGCUUUUGGCGAGCGGAAGAGAUCACAUUUCACCCAUGACUUUCAUGAUCCAACAACCCUAAGUAGAUCAUGAGAUGCUUACACUCAUCGAUCUUAAUUUUCCAUCGCAUAUUGAUGAGUGGAUCAGUCAUUAUUAUUGUUUCCUCUCUGUUUUGAUUUCUUUGCUCAAAAUUCACGAAUAAUUUUGGAUCCAAAGAUAAAACCAAAGCUUUUCCCCCUUAUUUUUCAUAAUCAUAUCAAACUUGGUGCUUUAGUUUCUUAUUAAACGAGUUAUAGAGAAAGAGUUCUAUGGGAGAGUUCAAUGGUAUAAAUCAACUAAAAGAACACCAUAGACAGAAAUCGUUGAUUUUAUUAACUAUCUAUUUAGAUGGAGCUUUCGGUAUGUAUUGCUGACCCGAAACCUUAUAAGAUGAUGAGAUCACCAAAGAAGAGACUUAAAAGUAAAACUAUGAACCACAACAUUCCCUUUCAUCCUUUUGUGUUGAUAUAUUUAAUUUUUUUUAUUUGACAACAUAUUUUUGAUUGUUGUACGUUACAAAAGUGUUAAAGAGUAUUUAUAUUAACAAGAUGUGACGACCAAGUUUAAUUAUAAAUCCAUAUAAAUUAUAUGGGGGCUUUUGGAUGAAUUAUAUAUCCACCUUCACUUCAAAUCUUUGAUGAAACAAACUCUUUUCAGAUGUAGAUCCUUAUGAUUCAUAGAUUAUCUUGGUGAUUAGUUAGAAAGAGUAAAACUUAUAUUUUCUAUUUUAAUUUAUUAUAAAUUUUCAGAAUCAUUAUCUGAUUUAUAUGAUUUAAAUAUACCAAAUUUAGAAUGGUGGUUUACUUAAAAAGUUUGUUCUUUAGUUUGGUUAGUUUCUGUCUUAUUUUUAAUUUUGUAAUGUGUCUCACAAAUUGGUUUUGAGAACAAUUAUAUUUUUUGUGGUCAAAAUUUUAUUCAAUUUUCUCCUUAUGAUUCUGUUUGGUUUAGAAAUAAUCGGGUUUAAAUCACCAGUUUCAACGAGAAACCAUGUGAAGAAAUUCCACAUUCUAAAAUUCCGCUGAGAUUUGAUCAAAACUAUCUUCUUUAACCAUUUUAUAUGCACCAAUCUAGCUAUUCUGAUGUAUAUCAAACCAAUAUUGAAAUUAAAUGAUUCUUUAGUCAAAACAAAAUGUAAAUAAGCUAUAAUUACAAUUAUUUUACUACAAACUCUAUAUACGCAAGAUAAAAAAUAUAUUUAGAUCAUAACUAGAGAUUAUUUUUUAGUUCAUCUUGCUCAUCAUUAUAUAUAUGAUUUCCAUUAAUGAAAAUAUAUUAAAUGUUGAGUUCAAAUCAUUUCAAAUUUGUAGGAACAAAAUAACGAAUGAUAAAAUAAUUUAAAUUUGCCUACCAAAUAAUACUUUAUAGUUAGUUCAAAUAUAUUCAAUUUUCCAACAUAAAUUUUAUUUCAAUCGAAAUAUUAAUAUAUAUAAUAUAUUCUGAUUCAAAUAAAAAUAAAUUAAAUUUAAAUAAAACCCUAGGCGUAGACCAGGACAAUCCGAACAUAAUACUAAAACAUUUAUUUUAACAAACAUGAUUUCACAAGUUUAGUUAGAAAGGUUAUAAUAUUAGUCAUUUUAUUAAUGUAUUGCAACUAAUUAUUAUUGAUCAUUUUAUUUUAAAAAUCAGGGGAAAAUGAUUGAUGGAAAAUUAUCUAAUUUGAUAGUAGACCAACAUGAGGAGAUUUUACAGAAAGAAAAAAAUUAUGAAGUCUCACGGUAU